RNAcentral lists this long non-coding RNA (4410 nucleotides) under Mus musculus (house mouse). RNAcentral describes it as "long non-coding RNA chr3:67340560-67344970". The record is from RNAcentral. Lineage: Eukaryota; Metazoa; Chordata; Mammalia; Rodentia; Muridae.
UUUUAUAAUGCAUGUGAUGUGUGUGUGUAUUUAUUAGAGCUAUAUUUGACUACAUGUAUAUACAUCAAGAUUUAUACAAAGACAUUAGAAAAACAGGCACAGUCACUCAUGGAUAUUAGUUAUAUAUAAAGGUUAUUGAGGAUGCAAAGAUAUAAAAGAUAGAAGAACCUAGUAAUUGCCUUUAAGAUCAGAGCACAAAGCAUUAGUUUGGAUUUUACAAGGCCAGCCAGCAACAAAAGAGCAGUAAUUUAUGAGCUCAGCGUAAAAGAAUAGCAUAAUUGCAUUAAAAAUUAAUGCUAAUGAACACUAAAAUGGGGAAGGUGGUUAUGAUGAAAGUUUGUAUUCAUCUUCCCUGGUUUGAAUGAUGGCUAGUGGCUUGAUUAAUGGCUUAAUUUCUAUCAAUUAGCGGGGAAAAAUCUCCUGUGAGACAAGGGUAAAUUGAGCAUUGAAUUACAUAUCUUGCUUUUGUGUGCUAAGAAAAAAGAGCUGCGUAUCUCUGAUAUUAGCCACAGUGACAAAUGUGGUGUGCCCCGAGAUGUCUGCAGCACUCUGCUGACAGGCGGGCUGUGUGUGGUUAUAGGGUGUUGGAUGGAGACGGCUGGCAGACAGCAUUCACUCUUAGUUCCUUAGAAACAUUCGGCUCCCAUCUACAGAAUUUUAAUUAGAGUCAAUAACAAUUCUGGAAUUAAAAUGGACAGCAGACAGCAACUGCGAUUCCUUAUUCUAAUCUAGUAAUCUGGGUUCCUCAAGUUGCAUGCCUUUCUUCUACCUUGUUGCGAUGAAAAUAAAUAGAAAUAAAAAUAAAACUGUCCAGCAGCCUUAGUUCUGUAGUUCUGGUGAGAUGAUCAUUUCUUAUCAUUGCAUUAAAGUAAACAUGACUACUCAGGUUUACCAUGUCUUGAGCAAGCGUAAACCAAUAGUCACUAUAGUUGGACUGCGUAGUAUCAUAGAAACUGAUUUUUUUUCUAACAGUUGUUGCACACAGUAAAUAACAAAAUCUGAAGUGAACAUUUUUCCUGCUUGUGUUAUUUGUAGGCUUAAGUGGAAGUGCUACUAGGUUCUCAAGUACUUUAAGUUUUGUUCAUUAUAAAGGUUGUAAGAAUAUGAUGUAAUAAUUUCUUUAAAAUUCUGUUUAAGUAUAGAAGAUUCUGAAAAUACAAUUCUAUAACCCACGUCAAAAUAACGUCAGAGGAGCAAGACCGUGUGUACAUCUCUUCUACAAGCAGAGCUGUGUAACGUUUUGCUGCGUGAAUAAGCAUUAGAAUGCAGAAUAAUUACAAUCCCAAGGACAUUUGUUAUUUCUAGUAAAUGGAAGGAGUAAGGAGAAAUCAUUUAUUGUGUGAUGUAAAAAGGGUAAAUAAUUCAUUUUAGAAGCAAUGACUAAAUCACAGGUCAGGGUUGGUUCUGCCACCACCUACCCACGUGAGCUUGACUGAGUUGCUGAUUUGCUUUAGUUUUUCAUCUUGCAGUGAGAAUAGUCAGGUUAUCCCAGCAGCUGUGAUGGGUAGAGUGUAAAGUAGUUAGCCCAAGUGCCUUAAAUCUGACCUGUUGCUGCUCCCCAUACCAGCAUAGUACCAUAUGGCAUUUAAAUGAAAACUGUCUCCAUCAUGUUCCCAUUCAAAAGGCAUCACAAACAAAGCAAAAGUUUCGUGCAUUAAACUACAGCAAAUUUUCUUUGAACAUAGAUUCUUCCACUUGAGAUAGAUCAUGCUAAGGGAAAUGGCAAACCCCCUAUAGCUCAGAGUAUUGGAUCCUGGCAGCUGUGACAAUCUAGUAGCUUCCCCAUUCACCACACUGCCCUGGCCACACUGUGGCCUGGACAGAUAAAGCCAUGGUAGCCUUUGUACCUUCUUUGAGAUGUGCACAGGAAUGCCUUCCAGUAGUCCUUGUCUCUCUCUGUUCGUUCUCAUAGUCUUUCCUGCCACGCCUCAGCAGGAGUGAACCAAAGCCAGUCACAGAGUCAAAACAACUUGGCAGCUUUCCUGUCCUUACUGCUAUAACUAAAUGGCGCUAAGCAUGCAUCUAUAGUAACAUGCAUUUACUAAGUAUUUGUCAUGAUCUAAUAACCUCACACGAAGCAGGAGUAUCACUAGGAUUUUCAUGGCUACUUUUUCGUGUUACCCUUUUCUGCUGAAAUGUCAGAAUGUCCGGGUGUUCUUGCCUGUUUCCCCUGUCUCACAUAGUUCCCUAGCUUCUUUCUGAUCUCUCUCUCUCUCUCUCUCUCUCUCUCUCUCUCUCUCUCAUGGGGUACCCACCUUAUUUGUUUAUGAUUUGUCUCCUUACUAUACACUCUCAGAGCAAUGCCUCAUGUGGUCAAUGUGCUCAAGUAUUUGAAAGGCAGAAAGAAGAAAGGGGGAGGGAAACUUUCACUCCUCCUAAGACAUGUAGCCCAUUAUUAUCUCACUACCAGAAAGGAGAACUCAGACCUGCACAGCUUGCACCAUUUGCCCAAGGCUACGACAGCUUGUAAGUAGCACGGAAAGUUUGACCCAGGCAGUCUAAACCCACAGAUUCUAAAACUAUCGCUUAGGAGGCUGGAGAGAUGGCUCAGUUGUUAAAAGCACUGGCUAGUCUUCCAGACGACCUGGCUUCAAUUUCCAGCAUUCACAUAGAGGAUCAUCUGUAACUCCAUUUCCAGAGAGCCAGUGCCCUCUUCUGGCCUCCUUGAGCACAAGCCAUACAUGCAGGCAAACACUAAAGUAAAAUAAACACUAAAACAAUGAAUUUUUUUAAGUCACUUGCACAUUUUAUUUUUAAUGUUUUAAUGCCCCUUGAAUUUUAGUUAUUCAAAAAAUAUAUAUUAAUUGCUCACUAAACAAUACAGUACCCUCAACUAAGCUCUUAAGGUAACAGAGAGAUAUGUCAUCUCUUAACUGAGGAGACAGAGCUGCCACUCACACAGAGGUCAUGAUCAGUGUGAGACAGCAUAUGCUAAGAGCCAGGUGAAUUAUGGAAGAGGUCUCUCUUCACACCAGUGGCAAGUGACAGCAUCAUUAAAACAUAUGUAUAGGUAUGGCCGUAAAUGACAGUGAAAAUUGAGAGAUAUGAAAACUUUCUAAGUAAGAUAUUCAGUGAAGAUUCUGUUUUUAUGAAUCACAAUGGCCCAAUUUGCUUGUACUUUUUAUGUUUAACUGAAAUUCUUUGAUAGUAUGGCCACACUGAAAUUAUUUGUCUCAUUUAACAUGCCAGAGGAAGUAUUUUAAUAUGGUGAGCUUGUGCUGGACCACCCCCCAGCCACGUCUUGUGAAAACCACUUGAAGAACCUCUGCUUCCCUUGGGACAGUGUUCACAGCAUCAGCUUCUGGAAGCUUCUAGGCAAGGCCUUUCUACCUAAGGAGUCUUCUGAUUUUUCAAGCUCUUUGUGGAUAUAAUUUUGUGGAAAUUUGUUUUUAAGAAUGUGUUUUAUGAACAGCUUAUAAAUGUUAAGAUUGGAUAGGUUUCUAAUGUAUUCUUUUUAAAAGAAAUAUUGAAGAGAUAUUGGUUUAUGUAAUGUAUAAGUGCAUAGCAUGUAUCCAGUGGUAAAAGUAUAAAAUCUGGUGUGAAGCUUACCAUCUUCCUUCCUAAGUGGCUAUUGUAACUGCAUAGAAUUCCACUACAUUAUCUAGCCUUUGGUUCUGGUUCAUAGUCUGGCUCUGCUUAAUUUUGCUGCGUGAUUUCUUUUUUGCAACUUUUUAUGAUAAAGUUUAUAUAAAAGAAAAAAGAUAAAUUGUUUUUAAAAGCAAAGCAAUAACUGUAAAUUUUAUGUUUAUAAGAAAUUAUCUUAAUAAUUUAAACUUUCUAAUUUUAUUUACCUACAAGUUCUAUUGAAAACAACUUUCCUACUCAAGUAUGUUGUCUUGUUCUUCAUCCUUGGAAAGCACUGGGAAAUGCUUUGCAGUACAGAUGCUGAUUGUCUUAUUUAAAACGGGAUGCUCAUGGUUGUUUUGUAUUCCUGGCUAAUAUCCGAGUCAAUUUAAUCUGGAAAUUGGGUAAUACUUUGUAUUAUUAAUGGAUUUGUAGCAGUAGUGUUAGUGUAUAAAUAUAUUUUCCUGGAACAAUAUCAUAAAUAACUCAGUAACCUAGACCAACUGACCCAAAUUUUUUGUUAACAUAAAACGCAUUUUAACUUUAGAUAAGUUCAUAAAAUAUUAAUAACUGGAAAGAACCAGUUGACAAUGAGCUCUUUGCAUGUGUUAAAGAUCUCUUUGAAGCACCAGUUGUCCUCAUCCCAAUAUGACAUCUUGGGCAAUAGUGCCAUCUGCUGUUGCCAUCCUGUUACUGCUAGCACAGGAGGCGUUAAUGUUUGUAAUCAAAAAACUGGUGGUGGGGACAUCCUCCUGGUGACAGGGGGUGGGGAGGAGGUAUGAGAUGUGGAACAGUUUGAGAGUGGACUGGGAGUGUAAAUAAAUAAAUAAUAAAUAAAGUAUUUUU